GUAGAACUGUACAGGGAAAUGCUGAGAGGAACUGGAUGUUGAUAGGAUCAGAUAUCCGGGGAUCAGGCACGGCAUGGGUUAUUUUUCUACAGUGAGCUUGAAUGGCUUGUCUAAAGAAAAAACAUUUAGGAAGUAGUCCAUUCAACUUAUAAAAACUGGUAUCAUAUUAGUUUCAUGAUAUGUCUAAUAGACUAGCAGUUGAAAUGCACCGCUAUGCCACAAGUGUUUCUGAGCCAUGGCUGUUGCCCUUUAGCUUUUGUUUGCUUUCUAAAUAAUUUACACUAAUAAUGCAAUUCAUUUCAUUAAAUACUAUAUGAUGUGUUACUAAAGUAUAUGAUGACAAAUAGGUUGUUAUCUUGUUGGAGAAUGGUGUUUGUUUGUUUGUUUGUUUGUUUGUUUGUUUAAAUCAAGAUAAAACAUAUACCAAACAUUUCCACCCUGGUGACUCAAGCUAUGACCACCAGAUACCUACUCCUUCACCAUGGAGAAUCCUGGAUUCUGAAUUAGCUAAUAUAACCUUUAUCUGCCACAGGGUCAACCUCAGUAGUGAGAACAGUUCUAAAAAUAGUAGCUACUGUUGUUGUGCCAUACUCCAUGAUACGCACUUUAAAUACAUUUCUCUAUUGAAUCCUCACAAUAAUUCCUAAGUUGGCAGAAUAACACAGAAAGUGUAAUGAUCUGACCCCCAGAAGUGUGGAUAUGGUAGGUUACAUGGCAAAAAGGAAUCAAGGCUUCUAACUGCGAUACAAAUUGCCAGUCUGUUGACCUGGCAAUGGGGGAGAUUGGGAGCUUAGAAUGGGUCCAGUGUCUCUUGGGGUCCUUAUAAGUAUAAUGGAGAGGCACAAGAAAGAUCAUCAGAGGGAAGCAAUUAGAAAAAGACUCAAUUGACCAUUGCUGGCCUUAAAGAUGAUCGAAACAGAAGGGUUUCAUUUCUCUUAUAAAAUACCCACAGGAGGAAGACUAAAAGUAGAAAACACCACGAUGAACUUCAUGUGGGGGCUUUUCUAAACUCCAAAUAUUUUAAAACAUCAUUUUCUAUAUUAGAGGAAACAGGAGCAGACAGUUUGGUCCACUGAGCACCUCUCUUGAGAUGCUGAGUAUCUAGAAAUGUGAACUCCCAUUGCUGCUGUUAUAAAGCUGAAUAGCUAGACUGCAAUUCAUGGGGCUCAGGAAGGAAUGCCUUAAAAUGGUUUCAUUUUUAGAUAAAAGCAUUUGUUAUGUAAGUGGUAUAAAGGUUGGGCAUGCCACAGGCAAUCAUGGAGAGGUAGCCCUUGAACUUCCAAAAUUGUAUGCACGGACCGUGCUAGUCUGUGUGUACUCCCACCUACCAUCUCUGUGCUCAGCUGAGGCUGGGGAGUAGUGAAGGUGAGAGGCGGGAGUGAGGAGCGAGAGCUCUGUCGAUGAGAACAGUCAGUCACAUGGUCAUGGAUGAGAAUAGUCACAUGGUCAUGGAUGAGAAUAGUCACAUGGUCAUGGAUGAGAAUAGUCACAUGGUCAUGGAUGAGAAUAGUCACAUGGUCAUGGAUGAGAAUAGUCACAUGGUCAUGGAUGAGAAUAGUCACACGUUCAGCACCGGACUGCCUGGGCCACCUGUCCUUUGCCAGAGGUAUCCUGCAGAGCCUGGUAAACCCUAAGCAUUCCAGUCAUGAACCCACCCUCCUUCCUUAUCUCCUUCCCCCCUCUCUUCCUCCCUCCCUCUCUCCCUCUCUUCCUCCCUCCCUCUCUCCCUCUCUUCCUCCCUCCCUCCUUCCCUCUCUUUCUCUUCCCACUACCAUGUCAGCUUAGAGUCUUGCCUCCCUACCUUAGUCCAGCCUUCAGUUUUUAGCCUUCGAAUCUCAGUACUUAGACCCCACACUGCCUCAUGGUGCCAGUGGAAGGAAUUUUCUCCACAGCUCUAAUCCAGGAGAAUUCAACCCAACUCAACCCAACCCUGCUUAAUUAAUCUUCCCAUUGGUCAGUUUUUACACAACUUCUAGUUUCCUCCAACAUCUCAGUUUAAGGGUCCCAUCUACAUAACAACGAUUGAACAAGAGCUACGUCUUGCUUGGCAUUCCAUCAAAGAUGUACACUGUCAGCGCUUAUCAGUGAUUUAAGGCAAUGCUAAGUCCCCAUGCUUGCGGAUCAGUGAUGUUCAGCAACAAAUGUUGUUGAGUUCCUACCACUCACUGUAGACGUUCUUCACCAAGCUUCUGGCAACCUUGUGAGACUUUCAAGGGAGGAAGCAAAGGAUUAAAGAGAUUAACUUACUUGCCCAAGGUCACACAGCCAGUAAUCGGCACAGCCAAAUUUUGAUGCCAGCUUGGGCUGUGGCCUGCUGCCUCCUUCUAUAAAUAUCUACUAAGCACUUGGUUCUUUGCAACGUAUGUCCUAACCUUCUACAGAGUCAAACUACAUUAAGAUAUCUGGGGAACCCCUCAUCAGCUUCUUGGCCCUGCUCCAGGAAGCCAACACUCCAGAGCCUGCUAACUGGAAAGAUGGUCAGCUAUAGGGCUUUUAGGAAAGAUGGCCAGUCAGCGGCUGGCAACACUGAUGCGAACCCUUUGAAAGGCCUGACAGGAAAUAACCGGCUGCUUCAGGCUCAGUUGCUGAGGGACGUGCUCAAGUGGAUGACACUCAACAGGUUUAUAUAACACAUUCCUCCAGUGCUUGGGGUUCCCAUGGCACCAGGAAAAAAAAAACCUCCACAGUGAGACUCUUUCAGUUUGUUCACUGAUGGGGGACACUGGGUGGCUUUAAGGAGUAGAUUUCAGAUACACAAAACUUCACAGUCUGGAAACUUCUUGAGAACUUUGGUAGGCUAUUCAGAAGAUAGGGGCAGUGUCCUUUUCUUCUCUGUGAACACCAACCACUACCUGCUUAGAAAAUUGAGACUCACUGCCCCUCCCCCCAUCACCAGUUAAAACUUUCUUCGCUCUCUUCGUUUACCUCUUUUGCAAAUUGUCUACUCUGCAAGCUCCAACCAAUGUGCCUUUUAAUUAACUCAUCUCUCUUGCCAUCGCCACCACAUAGGUACGGCAUCUGUUGGUCGUUCCACUCCUUGCCCUGAGGUGGGCUCUUGGUUUAGUUUAAUGCUUGCACACAAACUUCUUAGAGAUUGUACGUUUGGAUUUUGCUGUGGGUCACGGAGAUCCCAUAACUAGUCUUGCUCCUUGCUGUGACAGUGGAAUAGAAGGAAGACAAGAUUAUAGGAGAUAUGAAGGGGUGAUGUCCUUGUCCCUCUUUCAUAAGCCUACAUGAAUUUUUUUCCAUGGAGGCAGUUCACAAAGGUGGGGAAGCACGCAGUGUUUCCAUCAUUCUUGGCCUUAGUUUCUUCGUCUCUAAAAUGGGAGCAACAACACUCCCCCUUAUAUGUUUCAAUGGCCACUGAGUAGUGUCCUGUGGACAGCACAUAGAAGGCCUUAGGAACAUUGACCU
RNAcentral lists this long non-coding RNA (3414 nucleotides) under Mus musculus (house mouse). RNAcentral's name for it is "long non-coding RNA chr16:22540472-22543886". The record is from RNAcentral. Lineage: Eukaryota; Metazoa; Chordata; Mammalia; Rodentia; Muridae.